AUGAACCACUGGCUGAGAAACAUCCUGAUUCUGACUCUCUGGCUAGAGUGUAAAGGAGAAGACAGAGUGACCCAGCCAGCAGGAGAUGUCAUUGCUGCUGAAGGAGACACAGUUACACUUGACUGUACUUUUGAGACAAGUAGCACAGGUCCAACUUUGUUCUGGUACAAACAGGAUGGAAACAACAGCCCCACAUUCAUACUGAACCGCGUUCAACAGGAUGAUGGGAAAACAAAGGAAGAGUUUAAAGAAAGAUUUUCAUCCACACUGGAUUCCACCUCAAGAUCAGUUCCUCUGAAGAUCCAGAAGCUUCAGCUGACUGACUCUGCUGU
Non-coding RNA from Micropterus dolomieu (smallmouth bass), 332 nucleotides. The record is from the annotation of a RefSeq genome assembly. NCBI's taxonomy places the organism in Eukaryota, Metazoa, Chordata, Actinopteri, Centrarchiformes, Centrarchidae.